Molecule: unclassified non-coding RNA, 260 nt
Filed under: Hevea brasiliensis (rubber tree)
Lineage: Eukaryota; Viridiplantae; Streptophyta; Magnoliopsida; Malpighiales; Euphorbiaceae
Source: RNAcentral
AGCCACGUGGCAAUAGCCCAUCAAACGAGGAACUGUUGGUAUAAUGUCUCUGUGGUUUACAACUCUCCAGCUGUCUUUCACUUUCUUGUUGUAAAUUUCUGCAAAUUGCCGGUUGCCAACUCUAGGAGAUCCAAAAUUAUACAUGGUCACUGUUAUUGCCUCGUGCCUUGCAAGUUGACUUGACGAAAGUUCAAGAGCAAGAAGUGUAGCUAAUGCACCACCCAAACUGUGACCUGUAACAUAAACAUGCCAUUUGAGUG